AGAGUUUGAUUCUGGCUCAGGAUGAACGCUGGCGGUAUGCUUAACACAUGCAAGUCGUCGAAGAUCUUCGAUCUUAGUGGCGGACGGGUGAGUAACACGUGAGAAUCUGCCCUUAGGAGAGAAUAACAGCUGGAAACGGUUGCUAAUACUCUAUAUGCCGAGAGGUAAAAGGAUUUUCCACCUUAGGAAGAGCUCGCGUCUGAUUAGCUUGUUGGUGAGGUAAUGGCUCACCAAGCGACGAUCAGUAGCUGGUUUGAGAGGACGACCAGCCACACUGGGACUGAGACACGGCCCGACUCCUACGGGAGGCAGCAGUGGGGAAUUUUCCGCAAUGGGCGAAAGCCUGACGGAGCAUACCGCGUGAGGGAUGAAAGCCUGUGGGUUGUAAACCUCUUUUCUCAAGGAAGAAUUUGACGGUACUUGAGGAAUAAGCAUCGGCUAACUCUGUGCCAGCAGCCGCGGUAA
This 465-nucleotide ribosomal RNA is filed under the name uncultured cyanobacterium. Its description in RNAcentral is "bacterial SSU rRNA". It matches the Rfam family "Bacterial small subunit ribosomal RNA", at positions 8 to 523 of the family's 1533-position model. The record is from RNAcentral. Lineage: Bacteria; Bacillati; Cyanobacteriota.